CUAUAUUCUAUGUUUUUUGAUGUCUUAUGUAUUUUGGACCACUUUUAUACUGGGAUUGGAUAUAUUCCAUGUUUGUCUUGUAUAUUGUACUCUCUCAGUUUAUAUAGACAUCUUCCUUUUUGUGUAUUUUAGCUAUUCCUUUUUAUUUCCUCUAAUCAUCACUCUUAUGAUUUUUCUUUUCUUAUGCAACAUGUGGUUUCUCCUCU
This 206-nucleotide long non-coding RNA is filed under the name Vitis vinifera (wine grape). Its description in RNAcentral is "long non-coding RNA (VVIN_LNC005444)". Lineage: Eukaryota; Viridiplantae; Streptophyta; Magnoliopsida; Vitales; Vitaceae. The record is from RNAcentral.